RNAcentral lists this ribosomal RNA (253 nucleotides) under uncultured bacterium. Its description in RNAcentral is "partial 16S ribosomal RNA". It matches the Rfam family "Bacterial small subunit ribosomal RNA", at positions 524 to 776 of the family's 1533-position model. The record is from RNAcentral.
UACGAAGGGUGCAAACGUUGCUCGGAAUCAUUGGGCGUAAAGCGUGCGCAGGCGGCUAUGCAAGACAGAUGUGAAAUCCCCGGGCUCAACCUGGGAACUGCAUUUGUGACUGCAUGGCUAGAGCACGGUAGAGGGGGAUGGAAUUCCGCGUGUAGCAGCGAAAUGCGUAGAUAUGCGGAGGAACACCGAUGGCGAAGGCAAUCCCCUGGACCUGUACUGACGCUCAUGCACGAAAGCGUGGGGAGCAAACAGG